GACGAACGCUGGCGGCGUGCUUAACACAUGCAAGUCGAACGGAAAGGCCCUGCUUUUGUGGGGUGCUCGAGUGGCGAACGGGUGAGUAACACGUGAGUAACCUGCCCUUGACUUUGGGAUAACUUCAGGAAACUGGGGCUAAUACCGGAUAGGAGCUCCUGCUGCAUGGUGGGGGUUGGAAAGUUUCGGCGGUUGGGGAUGGACUCGCGGCUUAUCAGCUUGUUGGUGGGGUAGUGGCUUACCAAGGCUUUGACGGGUAGCCGGCCUGAGGGGGUGACCGGCCACAUUGGGACUGAGAUACGGCCCAGACUCCUACGGGAGGCAGCAGUGGGGAAUAUUGCACAAUGGGCGGAAGCCUGAUGCUGCAACGCCGCGUGCGGGAUGACGGCCUUCGGGUUGUAAACCGCUUUCGCCUGUGACGAAGCGUGAGUGACGGUAAUGGGUAAAGAAGCACCGGCUAACUACGUG
Molecule: ribosomal RNA, 468 nt
Filed under: uncultured bacterium
Lineage: Bacteria
Description: partial 16S ribosomal RNA
Rfam family: Bacterial small subunit ribosomal RNA
Source: RNAcentral